RNAcentral lists this ribosomal RNA (762 nucleotides) under uncultured marine haptophyte. RNAcentral's name for it is "bacterial SSU rRNA". It matches the Rfam family "Bacterial small subunit ribosomal RNA", at positions 553 to 1320 of the family's 1533-position model. Lineage: Eukaryota; Haptophyta. The record is from RNAcentral.
AUUGGGCGUAAAGCGCCUGUAGGUUGUUUAAUAAGUCUGUUGUUAAAGACUAGGGCUUAACCCUAGGAAAGCAAUGGAAACUACUAGACUUGAGUAUGAUAGGGGUAGAGGGAAUUUCUAGUGUAGCGGUGAAAUGCGUAGAUAUUAGAAAGAACACCGGCGGCGAAGGCGCUCUACUGGAUCAUUACUGACACUCAGAGGCGAAAGCUAGGGUAGCAAAAGGGAUUAGAUACCCCUGUAGUCCUAGCCGUAAACGAUGGAUACUACAUGUUGCGUUUUUAAUGCAGUGUGGUAGCUAACGCGUUAAGUAUCCCGCCUGGGGAGUACGGUCGCAAGGCUGAAACUCUAAGGAAUUGACGGGGGCCCGCACAAGCGGUGGAGCAUGUGGUUUAAUUCGAUGCAACGCGAAGAACCUUACCAAGGCUUGACAUACUACAAAUUUCUUUGAAAAAGGAAAGUGCCUUCGGGAAUGUAGAUACAGGUGGUGCAUGGCUGUCGUCAGCUCGUGUCGUGAGAUGUUGGGUUAAGUCCCGCAACGAGCGCAACCCUUAUUUUUAGUUGCUAAUUUAGUUUAGGUUUUCUAGAAAGACUGCCGGUGACAAACCGGAGGAAGGUGAGGAUGACGUCAAGUCAGCAUGCCCCUUAUGCCUUGGGCUACACACGUGCUACAAUGGUUAAGACAAAGAGUUGCGAGCUCGUGAGAGUCAGCUAAUCUCAUAAACUUAGCCUAAGUUCGGAUUGUAGGCUGCAACUCGCCUUACG